RNAcentral lists this ribosomal RNA (494 nucleotides) under uncultured bacterium. RNAcentral's name for it is "partial 16S ribosomal RNA". It matches the Rfam family "Bacterial small subunit ribosomal RNA", at positions 29 to 506 of the family's 1533-position model. The record is from RNAcentral.
AACGAACGCUGGCGGCGUGCCUAAUACAUGCAAGUCGAACGCUGAAGGCGGAGUUUGCUUCUCAGGAUUAGUUGAGAACGGGUGAGUAGCGCGUUGGUCUCCUGUCUGGUAGCGGGGGAAAACCAUUGGACACGAUAGCUCUUACCGCAUAAGAGUUGAUGUUGCAUGACAUUUGCUUGAAAGGUGCACUUGUAUCACUACCAGAUGGCCAUGCGUUGUAUUAGCUAGUUGGUGAGUUAACGGCUCAUCAAGGCAACGAUAGCUAGCCGACCUGAGAGGGUGAUUGGGCACACGGUGACUGAGACACGUCCCAGACUCCGACGGGAGGCAGCAGUAGGGAAUCUUCGGCAAUGGACGGAAGGCGGACCGAGCAAAGCCGCGGGAGUGAAGAAGGUUUUCGGAUCGGAAAGCUCUGUUGGAAGAGAAGAACGAAUGUGAGAGUAGAAAGGACACACUGGGAGGGAACCGUACCAGAAAGGGAGGCUAAAUUACGG